This 451-nucleotide ribosomal RNA is filed under the name uncultured bacterium. RNAcentral describes it as "bacterial SSU rRNA". It matches the Rfam family "Bacterial small subunit ribosomal RNA", at positions 90 to 539 of the family's 1533-position model. The record is from RNAcentral.
GACGAGUGGCGCACGGGUGCGUAACGCGUAUGCAAUCUACCUUUUACAGUGGGAUAGCCCAGAGAAAUUUGGAUUAAUACCGCAUAGUAUAUAGAAUUGGCAUCGAUUUUAUAUUAAACAUUUAUGGGUAAAAGAUGAGCAUGCGUUCUAUUAGCUAGAUGGAGUGGUAACGGCACCCCAUGGCGACGAUAGAUAGGGGCCCUGAGAGGGGGAUCCCCCACACUGGUACUGAGACACGGACCAGACUCCUACGGGAGGCAGCAGUGAGGAAUAUUGGACAAUGGGCGCAAGCCUGAUCCAGCCAUGCCGCGUGCAGGAAGACUGCCCUAUGGGUUGUAAACUGCUUUUAUACGGGAAGAAACACCCCCUCGUGAGGGGGCUUGACGGUACCGUAAGAAUAAGGAUCGGCUAACUCCGUGCCAGCAGCCGCGGUAAUACGGAGGAUCCAAGC